GUGGGUAACCUGCCUUAUAGUGGGGGAUAGCCUUUCGAAAGGAAGAUUAAUACCGCAUAAGAUUGUAGUAUCGCAUGAUAUAGCAAUUAAAGGAGCAAUUCGCUAUAAGAUGGACCCGCGUCGCAUUAGCUAGUUGGUGAGGUAAUGGCUCACCAAGGCGGCGAUGCGUAGCCGACCUGAGAGGGUGAUCGGCCACAUUGGGACUGAGACACGGCCCAGACUCCUACGGGAGGCAGCAUG
RNAcentral lists this ribosomal RNA (240 nucleotides) under uncultured bacterium. Its description in RNAcentral is "partial 16S ribosomal RNA". It matches the Rfam family "Bacterial small subunit ribosomal RNA", at positions 117 to 353 of the family's 1533-position model. The record is from RNAcentral.